UACGGAGGGUGCAAGCGUUGCUCGGAAUUAUUGGGCGUAAAGGGCAGGUAGGUGGUCUCAUUUGUCAGGGGUGAAAGCCUUGGGCUUAACCCGAGAAGUGCCUCUGAAACGGUGAGACUAGAGUUCUGGAGAGGUGAGUGGAAUUCCCGGUGUAGCGGUGAAAUGCGUAGAGAUCGGGAGGAACACCAGAGGCGAAGGCGGCUCACUGGACAGCAACUGACACUCAACUGCGAAAGCGUGGGGAGCAAAC
This 250-nucleotide ribosomal RNA is filed under the name uncultured bacterium. Its description in RNAcentral is "partial 16S ribosomal RNA". It matches the Rfam family "Bacterial small subunit ribosomal RNA", at positions 524 to 773 of the family's 1533-position model. The record is from RNAcentral.